This is a non-coding RNA of Cicer arietinum (chickpea), 107 nucleotides long. NCBI's taxonomy places the organism in Eukaryota, Viridiplantae, Streptophyta, Magnoliopsida, Fabales, Fabaceae. The record is from Rfam.
AGCCCAUGAUGCGGGCACAAUCUCAGCAUCUUCUUGAAGCGCUCCCAAGCCUCAUAGAGUGAUUCUCCAUAUUUUUUUAGAAAAACUUGUGAUUUGAUUUCUCAAUU